Molecule: ribosomal RNA, 440 nt
Filed under: uncultured bacterium
Lineage: Bacteria
Description: bacterial SSU rRNA
Rfam family: Bacterial small subunit ribosomal RNA
Source: RNAcentral
CCUACGGGUGGCAGCAGUUAGGAAUCUUGGGCAAUGGGCGAAAGCCUGACCCAGCAACGCCGCGUGGGUGAUGAAGGCCUUCGGGUCGUAAAGCCCUUUUGCACGGGAAGAUAAUGACGGUACCGUGCGAAUAAGCCCCGGCUAACUACGUGCCAGCAGCCGCGGUAAUACGUAGGGGGCGAGCGUUGUCCGGAUUUAUUGGGCGUAAAAGGCUUGUAGGUGGCCACGCCAAGUCGGAUGUGAAAUCUCCCGGCUCAACUGGGAGGGGUCAUUCGAUACUGGCGGGCUCGAGGCCGGUAGGGGGAAGUGGAAUUCCGGGUGUAGUGGUGGAAUGCGUAGAUAUCCGGAGGAACACCAGUGGCGAAGGCGGCUUCCUGGACCGGUUCUGACACUGAGGAGCGAAAGCGUGGGGAGCGAUCCGGAUUAGAUACCCUUGUAGU